AUUCAACUGAUGAAUCUUAAAUAGAACGAAACGCACGUAUUGGAU
This 45-nucleotide non-coding RNA is filed under the name Schistosoma margrebowiei. Lineage: Eukaryota; Metazoa; Platyhelminthes; Trematoda; Strigeidida; Schistosomatidae. The record is from RNAcentral.